AGGAACCAGUUCACCAUCUUUUGUCCUGUUCAUACUGCUAACUGCAGUUAAAUUGCUUCUGUGUUGUAUCAUGUCAGCAGUCUGUCUCUACAGGUUAAAAGCUAUUUUCAGAACCUGAUGAAGCAAAUAUAAAGGAAUCAACUGAUUUCUGCAGAAUCCGGUCUCUGCUCAACUGUACAGUGACGUGGAUGUGGACGGACAACAAACGGAGGAGGACAUGGAGAGGACAAGAUCAAACUAUGGUCACCUCUAAACUGAGAAAUUGUUCAGAAACAUCAAGAGAGAGCGCAAAUUAAAAUAAUUAGCAUUUUUAACUUUCAAAUCAGCGGCUUCAAAGGAGAGUUUUUAGAGGACACAAAAGAAA
Molecule: long non-coding RNA, 364 nt
Organism: Cololabis saira (Pacific saury)
Lineage: Eukaryota; Metazoa; Chordata; Actinopteri; Beloniformes; Belonidae
Exons: 3
Source: RefSeq, a predicted model, not a curated record